This 253-nucleotide ribosomal RNA is filed under the name uncultured bacterium. RNAcentral describes it as "partial 16S ribosomal RNA". It matches the Rfam family "Bacterial small subunit ribosomal RNA", at positions 524 to 776 of the family's 1533-position model. The record is from RNAcentral.
UACGUAGGGGGCAAGCGUUGUCCGGAUUUAUUGGGCGUAAAGAGCGUGUAGGCGGCCAGAUAGGUCCGUUGUGAAAACUGGAGGCUUAACCUCCAGCUGUCGAUGGAGACCAUCUGGCUAGAGUCCGGAAGAGGAGAGUGGAAUUCCUGGUGUAGCGGUGAAAUGCGCAGAUAUCAGGAAGAACACCCGUGGCGAAGGCGGCUCUCUGGGACGGUACUGACGCUGAGACGCGAAAGCGUGGGGAGCGAACAGG